GAUGAACGCUAGCGGGGGGCUUAACACAUGCAAGUCGAACGCUCCUUCGGGAGAGUGGCAGACGGGUGCGUAACACGUGCUUAACUUGCCCUGGAGUGGGGAAUAACUGUUGAAAGGCAGCUAAUUCCGCAUACGCUCUACAAAAUGAAAAUAUGUAGAGGAAAGAUUUAUCGCUCUAGGAGAGGGGUGCGGCCUAUUAGCUUGUUGGUAAGGUAAUGGCUUACCAAGGCAAUGAUGGGUAGCUGGUCUGAGAGGAUGAUCAGCCACAAUGGGACUGAGACACGGCCCAUACCCCUACGGGGGGCAGCAGUGGGGAAUAUUGCGCAAUGGAGGAAACUCUGACGCAGCCACCCCGCGUGAAGGAUGAAGCAUUACGGUGUGUAAACUUCUUUUCUGGUGGAAGACGACUGACGGUACACCAGGAAUAAGGGACGGCUAACUACG
Molecule: ribosomal RNA, 444 nt
Filed under: uncultured bacterium
Lineage: Bacteria
Description: bacterial SSU rRNA
Rfam family: Bacterial small subunit ribosomal RNA
Source: RNAcentral